CUGCAGAUUGAUUGAUUGUAAA
Molecule: small nuclear RNA, 22 nt
Filed under: Arabidopsis thaliana (thale cress)
Lineage: Eukaryota; Viridiplantae; Streptophyta; Magnoliopsida; Brassicales; Brassicaceae
Description: snRNA_18830
Source: RNAcentral